GCUAAGGUGGCAGAUUUAUGUGUUAGAUUUAGGAUCUAAAGAAGAGUAAUGUUACUUCCUUAGUA
This 65-nucleotide transfer RNA is filed under the name Meretrix meretrix (Asiatic hard clam). RNAcentral's name for it is "tRNA-Leu". Lineage: Eukaryota; Metazoa; Mollusca; Bivalvia; Venerida; Veneridae. RNAcentral also lists the same sequence under 1 other name. The record is from RNAcentral.